Molecule: transfer RNA, 71 nt
Filed under: Chloroflexota bacterium
Lineage: Bacteria; Bacillati; Chloroflexota
Description: Chloroflexi bacterium (anaerobic digester metagenome) tRNA-Cys
Rfam family: tRNA
About the family: Transfer RNA (tRNA) molecules are approximately 80 nucleotides in length. Their secondary structure includes four short double-helical elements and three loops (D, anti-codon, and T loops).
Source: RNAcentral
GGCGACGUAGCCAAGUGGCAAGGCAGAGGUCUGCAAAACCUUCACCAUGGGUUCAAAUCCCAUCGUCGCCU